This 323-nucleotide ribosomal RNA is filed under the name Campylobacter jejuni. RNAcentral describes it as "partial 23S ribosomal RNA". It matches the Rfam family "Bacterial large subunit ribosomal RNA", at positions 194 to 511 of the family's 2925-position model. The record is from RNAcentral. Lineage: Bacteria; Pseudomonadati; Campylobacterota; Epsilonproteobacteria; Campylobacterales; Campylobacteraceae.
UGAAACAUCUAAGUACCCUGAGGAAGAGAAAACAAGAGUGAUUCCGUCAGUAGCGGCGAGCGAACGCGGAACAGCCUAAACCAGGGAGCUUGCUCCCUGGGGUUGUGGGACGUCUCACAUGGAGUUACAAAGGAACAGGGUAGACGAAGAGGUCUGGAAAGGCCCGCCGGAUAAGGUAAAAGCCCUGUAGUUGAAAGUCUGUUCCCUCCGAGACGGAUCCCGAGUAGUGCGGGGCACGUGAAACCCCGUAUGAAUCCGGCAGGACCAUCUGCCAAGGCUAAAUACUCCCUGGCGACCGAUAGUGAAACAGUACCGUGAGGGAA